AAAAGUAAAGAGAAAAAAGUAAAUGUUAAUUGUUAAUGGUUAGUAUUAGUAGUUAGUGUGCCAUAAGGCAAAUUUAGCGCUAUGUUAAGCAAUCGUAAUUGGACUUAUGUAGAAGUCACAACUAUCUGAGGCCGGUCAAUAAUAAUGUAGGAAACAACACAAGUUAGAAGUCUUGACUAGUGAACCAAGUUCCAACAACUUGCCAUGCCAAAAAGAAAAAGAGAAUUGAUCUUGUAUUGGUUUAAGUCUUCCGCAUAAUUUAGGAAACAACCUAUCCUUAAUACAAAGCCAUUCACUUGAUCAAUUGAUCAAGAUGAAUUAGAUUUGAAUCAAAGAAGGUUAAGUCUCCCUAAUCAAUGCUAACUUAUCAACCUUCAACUCAUUGAUCAAAAAAAAGAAAAAGAAGAAGAAGAAAGAGAUG
This 421-nucleotide long non-coding RNA is filed under the name Lathyrus oleraceus (garden pea). Its description in RNAcentral is "Pisum sativum (pea) long non-coding RNA (PSAT_LNC011648)". The record is from RNAcentral. Lineage: Eukaryota; Viridiplantae; Streptophyta; Magnoliopsida; Fabales; Fabaceae.